Molecule: transfer RNA, 89 nt
Filed under: Mesorhizobium sp. L-8-10
Lineage: Bacteria; Pseudomonadati; Pseudomonadota; Alphaproteobacteria; Hyphomicrobiales; Phyllobacteriaceae
Description: tRNA-Val
Source: RNAcentral
CAGUCGCUGGGGCGGAUGGCCGGGCGCCGCGAGCCUGACGUGCCUGCGCAAGCCGACGAACCCGCCGUUCCGGCGGCCGCAGCGGCCGA